UCCCGCCCGCCCGCCCCGCCCCGCCCCGGCCCGCCGGGGCUGGAGCCGGCGCCGCGUCCGGCUCGAGUGGGACGGAGCCCUCGGUUGGCGGCUGCUACCUGGGCCGCCUCCUACCGGGUAGGAGCGCGGAAGGAGGGGCAUUGGGCCUCUCCGCUAGCGAGCUUUGGGGGUUGCGGCGGGUCAGCGACAGGCGCGCAUUGGGCCAGCGCCUGUGCAGCUUUGCUUGGGAAGACUCGAACUGGCGCCGGAAAUUUUACGAAGACGUGAUUUUCAAAGCUAAUUAUGAAAACAUUUGUCGUGGGAAUCAGUGGUGUGACAAAUGGCGGGAAGACAACGCUGGCUAAGAUUUUGCAGAAACACCUCCCAAACUGCAGUAUCGUAUCUCAGGAUGAUUUCUUUAAGCCAGAGUCUGAGAUAGAGAUAGACGCAAAUGGAUUUCUGCAGUAUGACGUGCUUGAAGCGCUCAAUAUGGAAAAAAUGAUGUCCACCAUUUCCUGCUGGAUGGAAAGCCAAGGACAGUCCCUGGCAUCAACAGACUCUGGAAGUGCCGAGGAAAUUCCCAUACUGAUCGUCGAAGGCUUCCUUCUCUUUAAUUAUAAGCCCCUUGACACACUAUGGAACAGAAGCUACUUUCUGACCAUUCCGUAUGAAGAAUGUAAGAGGAGGAGGAGUAUAAAGUUUCCUGUGUGUUUUGAUAGUACGAGAGUCUACGAGCCUCCAGACACCCCAGGGUACUUUGAUGGCCACGUGUGGCCCAUGUAUCUAAAGCACAGACGAGAAAUGGAGAAGAUCACGUGGGAGAUUGUUUACCUAGAUGGAACAAAAUCUGAAGAGGACCUCUUUAAAGAAGUGUAUGAAGAUCUAAUACAAGAACUAGCAAAGCAAAAGGGUUUGCACGUGACAACGUAGAGAUGGAGUGCACUGAACCCUUCGGGGGAUGAAUUAGGAAACUCGAAGGCCUCUAUUUAAGAACCUGCACGAAGAUACAAUAUGUACUUUGAUUUCUUGAUCUGGGGGAAAACCACCCAACGUGUUCUGAGAACAUUCGAGCGGCCCUGUGCAAAAGCCCAGGUGGCAAAAUAGGGCCACCUGCCAAGUGCCACACCAGCUUGCCUGCCACGUAGCUGAGCCACCUCGGAAAUGGGUCUUCCAACACCGGUCAAGCCUUUAGGUGACUGAAGCCCAACCGACAGCUUGAUUUCAACUUCAUCAGAGAUUCUGAGGCAGAACCACCAGCGAAGCCACUCCUAAAAUCCAGAUCCACGGUAACCGAGCAAGACUUCGCUCCUGUGGGAAUUCUCACAUUCUCUGUAUUCUGUUAACCGAAUCACUGAAUCUCUCCAGUUUCCCUUCAUGAAGGAGAAUCCAGCCUCUGAUCUAGUGAGCAGGAAAAGGAACCUGGAGAGGAAAGAUGGCUCCCAUCGCCUGAGUGCUGCUGUCAGUCGGCUCCCCGUCCGUGAGAGGACUCUACCUGAGGCACAGAGAGAGAGCAGGCGGAGGAGAGGCAGAGAAAGAGGGGGAGAGAGAGAAUCCUAAGCAGACUCCUUGCUGUCAGCCUGGAAGCUAAAGCAAGGCUCGAUCUCACAAACCUCAACAUCAUGACCUGAGCCAAAAUCAAGCGUUGGACACUAAAUCGACUGAGCCACCCGGGCAUCCCUGGAUACCAAGGCCCCCAGAGGAUUGGAUAGUGCCCACCUGCACUGAUGAGAAUGCUCUUUUCUCAGUCUACUGACUCAUAUGGUAAUCUCUUUUUGGAGACACGCUGACAGCCACACCCAGAAAUCGUGUUUUAACAGCUAUCUGGGCAUCUCUCAACUCAGUCAAGUUGACACAUAAAAUUAACCAUUACAGGACUGCAAUGUCAGGUAGUGCUAAGUGUUCUGAAGAAAAAAAUGGAUAAAGGAGCUGGGGUGUACGUGAAAAAAAGUAAGAUGUCUUCUAAUAAAAAAUCAAUUGUGCUGUGUUCACCCAAGGAAUACCUUAUGGUGUGAAAACGAACAAACUAUAGCUCUACACACAACGUGGAUAAAACUUUGAAACAUAGUAUUGAGUAAAAGAAGCAAGAAAUGAUGCCACGAGAAAACAAUCAGACUAAAUCCAGAAUAUGGGAUAUUCUGCAGGUCCAACGAUCCAGCUUUCUAAAAAAACAAAAACAAAAACAAAAACAGAACAAAACAGAGCAAAAAAAUGCCAUGAUAACAAGAAAGGAAGAGGGAAAGAAGCAGGGUCUUGAGGAAUAGAAGAGAUACAAGAGUCAUGAUGUUCUGAGUUGUAACAACUAACUACAAAAAGACAUCUUUGAGGCGAUUAGGGAAAUUUGAAUAAGAACUGGGUAUUAGAAGUUAAUAAGAUUGGUUAUUAAUUUUUGUCGAUAGACACAAUAAUGACAUGAUGGUUAUCUUUUCAAAGUUCCUCUCAGACAUGCACACUGAAGUUUGCAUGGGGGAAAAACAAUAUAAUGUCUGGGAACACCCUUGUAAAACAGCAAGAGGAAGUUAGGUAAAACAAGGUUACAAACUUUUGAGAAUUGGUGACAUUGGGUGAAGGAUUGUAAUAAUAUAGUAGAUUGCUUAUGUUAUUGCCUCUACUUUUAUUUUACUUUGAAAAUUUCCAUAAUUCAAGUUUUUAAAAUGAGAAACUUAUUUAAUUUACUUAGAAGCUUCUUCUGGGCUUAUAUGUAAAAAUGUAUCUAGAAUUAAGUAGAAGUCACAGGUUUAUGUGUGAUUCUGAAGACCUUUUGUUUUGAGAUUAUUGUAGAUUCGUAUGCAGUUGCAAGAAAUAAUUCGGAAAGAUUUCGUAUACCCUCGACCCAAUGGCAUUAUCUUGCAUAACCAUAGCACAAUAUCACAGUCUGGAAGUUGACAUUGAUACAACCAAUUGACCUUAUUCAAUUUCACCAGUUUGGUACAUAUCCAUUUAUGUAUAUAUGGCAUAUAUAUUAAUUUCUAUGCAAUUUUACCAAAGCAUAGAUUUUUGUGACCUCUACCACAGUCAAGAUACAGAACAGUUCUAUCACAAGAUUCUUUUGUACUCCCUUUUAUCACAACAGACACCCCUUUUACUCCUACCUCCUCUGACCUCUGGCAGCCACAAAUCUGUUUUCUAGCUCUAUAGUUUUGUCAUUUCAAGACAAAAUAUAUAAAUGGAAUCAUACAGUAUGUGUAACCCUUUGUGAUUUUCUUCCCACUCACCAUAAUUCUUUUGAGAUUCACCUAAGUUAUAUUUUUAAGUCAUUUGUUUUUAAAAUAAUCUCUGCAUCCAUUGUGGGGCUCGAACUCACAACCCCAAGAUCAAGAGUUGCAUGCUCCACUGACUGAGCCAGCCAGGCACCCCUCAUCUGAGUUACCAAGUGUAUAACUAGAUGAUUCCUUUUCUCAUUGCUGAGUAAGGAUCUCAUGGUAUGGAUGUGCUCCACUUUGUUUAACCAUUCAUCUACUAACACUCAUUUGGGUUGUUACUAAAUUUUGGCUUCUACCAUGAGCUUUCGUGUACAUUAGGUUUUUGUGUGAACACAUUUUUUCAUUUCUCUGGGAUGAAUGUCCAAGAGUGCAAUGACUGGAUAGUAUAGUAUGCACAGGUUCAGUUUUGUAAGAAAGUGCUAUACUCUUUCCAACAGUGGCUUUUCUAUUUUCCAUUCCCAUUAGCAAUGUAUGAACAUAUGAGUGUGUGAGCUUUAACUGCUUAACUAAUAGUUCUUCAGAAUAACUGAAGAAAGAAUGAUCUGAUGAAAAUAUUUCUGCCCAAAUGGCCCCAUGGUUUACGAAGAUUUCUAUAGGAGGUACUCGUUGUAAAGAAGUUAGGUCAAGGAAGUCCUAAAAGUGCUUUGAAACAAGGCCAAAAAUGAAUCCUAGAUACAUCUGAAAGGAAGAGAGGAAAUUAACAUUUACAGAGCAGAAAUACCAGGCAUUUCUCAUUCUUUAUCUCAUUUAUUCCUCAGACGACCCUGUAAGAAGGGUACUAUGCUUAUUUUAGAAAUAAUGUAAUCAAGGUCUCAAGUAACUUUUCAAACAGUCACAGUUACCAACCGGCAAAGUGAGACUAAAAAGCCCAGCUUCUAGCUGCCUUUAGCUCAGUGCAGGAAACAUAGGAGGCAAUCAACACAUUUGUUGAGAAGACUGAAUGAAUAGAUGAAUGUCAGUUCUGCUAUUUAUGUACUCCUUGGCAAGACAAUUAAAUUCUCUGAGUCUUUCUUCUUUUGUUGAAGGAAGACAAUAAUAACACCUCCUUCACAGAGUCGUGAACAAAUGAGGUGAUGUGAAAAAAAAGUUGAAAAAUGUUAAAUGUUACAUAAUAUUCUAAAAGUACAGUCAGGGUCAUAACCAAAUACUGAUAAAAUGCAGGCGCAAGAGUUGGGUGGGUGGGUGGGUGUAGUGCCAGUAAGGUACUGUGCCCCAUGGAUUAUUUAAUAUCGAGUUUCCUUAUCUGUGAAAUCACAAGUGAGAUUAAGGUGGAGUGCCUUAAUGACAUAGACCCUAAGAUUCUCACCGAAUAAUGAGACAGAACCAAGCAAACCUCUACAUAGAUUAAUUUGAAAAUGUUUAUUAUCCUUCCCAGGAUGAUGAAAAGUAUGUUGCUGAUUAUCAUUAUCCAUAGCAUUCUGGCCGAUAUCAAUUAGGUCAUUGAGACCUAUAUCAGUGCAUCAAAAUUAUUACAUAGGUAAUUUGGAUAUUUGUAUGUGCAAUGAUAUAUGAAAACAGUAUUGGUUAACAGUUAAUAAUAUGAGAAUAUAUAUAUAACUUCCAAAUACCAGUUUCUAAGAACAAUAUGCACUGGAUAGAAGUGGAAGAAUGGGCAAGAAAUUGAUAUAUUGUGUCUGGGUAGGGGAUAAGAGUGGCUAGAAAGGUAAAGAAGCUUCAUAUUUGUAACUCUUUGUAUUUUCCUUUUGAAUUUUGGAGCAUAUAUUACUGCAUUACUAUUCAACAAAUACUUUAACCUUUUAUAAAAAUCUUGUAUAAAAAUGUAACAUUAAUAUAGACUAACCACAGGACUUUUUAAAGCAUUGCUUUUAAAUUAUUAAAUUCUGAAAAUAUGAAGCCACUUCCUUUUCAAUAUCAUUAUAUGUUUUUACUGAAUUUGUGGUCUCUGGGCAUAUUUAACUCUUCUGAAAAAAGCA
Acinonyx jubatus (cheetah) is the source of this 5113-nucleotide RNA transcript. It is a transcript of the gene named nicotinamide riboside kinase 1, with no coding region annotated. NCBI's taxonomy places the organism in Eukaryota, Metazoa, Chordata, Mammalia, Carnivora, Felidae. The transcript is spliced from 13 exons. The record is from RefSeq and is a predicted model, not a curated record.